RNAcentral lists this transfer RNA (85 nucleotides) under Oscillibacter sp. RNAcentral describes it as "tRNA-Leu". It matches the Rfam family "tRNA". From Rfam's summary of the family: Transfer RNA (tRNA) molecules are approximately 80 nucleotides in length. The record is from RNAcentral. Lineage: Bacteria; Bacillati; Bacillota; Clostridia; Eubacteriales; Oscillospiraceae.
GCGUCUGUGAUGGAAUUGGUAGACAUGCGAGAUUUAGGUUCUCGUGCCGUUUGGCGUGUGGGUUCGAGUCCCUUCAGACGCACCA